This 442-nucleotide ribosomal RNA is filed under the name uncultured bacterium. Its description in RNAcentral is "bacterial SSU rRNA". It matches the Rfam family "Bacterial small subunit ribosomal RNA", at positions 28 to 478 of the family's 1533-position model. The record is from RNAcentral.
GAUGAACGCUGGCGGCGUGCUUAACACAUGCAAGUCGAACGGGAUCCCAGGAGCUUGCUCCUGGGUGAGAGUGGCGAACGGGUGAGUAAUGCGUGACCGACCUGCCCCAUACACCGGAAUAGCUCCUGGAAACGGGUGGUAAUGCCGGAUGCUCCAGUUGGAUGCAUGUCCUUCUGGGAAAGAUUCAUCGGUAUGGGAUGGGGUCGCGUCCUAUCAGCUUGAUGGCGGGGUAACGGCCCACCAUGGCUUCGACGGGUAGCCGGCCUGAGAGGGCGACCGGCCACAUUGGGACUGAGAUACGGCCCAGACUCCUACGGGAGGCAGCAGUGGGGAAUAUUGCACAAUGGGCGCAAGCCUGAUGCAGCGACGCCGCGUGCGGGAUGACGGCCUUCGGGUUGUAAACCGCUUUUGACUGGGAGCAAGCCCUUCGGGGUGAAUGUAC